GCGGGUAAGCCAUGAGCUGUGGCUAGCUGUCACAGCAGCUUUAGCCACUUUGUAGUUGUUUUCUCACUGGGGAAAAAACAGAUGCGAGUACUUAUAGUAUCUGACUGCCAAACCUAAGGAAGAAGAACUCAUUUCCUCAACAGCUAUUGUGCCCUUCUGGGGGAGUGUGAAGUGCAUUUACUUUGUGGGGAGAGUAAAAGCUGGGGAGGUGGCAGACACGAGAAAGUUCUCUUCCUGAAUGUGUCAGGAAGACAAUUUCUUCUUUGUAGAAAAAAAGUAAGAAAUACUAUAGUAGGAAGAGCAGAUACUAGGGCUGUGGCAGAAGAAGAUCAGUCACACAGAUGGACCACAACUGGGACAUGUGGGUGUGGAGAUGAAGAAGGAUGCUUGCCCUCAUAGUGGCAGUGAAUUAACAGGAAACGCUGAGUACAGUUCAAAGCAAAACCACAGCAGAUGAUACUUUACAGAUGACCUCCUGGUAUCUCAGGGACCACCAGUGACCCACGGGCUGAGAAACUGCUGUCCACGCGGUAUAUUUCAGUACUGUCCUUGGGAUGCAAAGCACUGCAGGCUGCAAGGUGCUAACCCUUUUGGCCUUAAUCCAGCAACACAUUUAAGCAUGUGCUUACCAUUAAACACCUGAGUUGCCCUGCGGGCUUCAGCUGGAUUACCUGUGUCAGAGUGCUCUGCUGGAUAACAGCCAGAGUGCUCAGCACUGCGCUCUGGUUUCAAGGGGGAAGAGUAUGGAGAAAGUUCAUCUGGUUGUUAGUGACUAACAAAUGACAAAGAUGCUACAGCUCUUCUUAAUUGCUGGCCUGAUUUAUUGCCUCCUGCAGUCAAUGGAAGCAUCCUUUUGGCCUUAUGUGAUUACACAAGGCUCCACGUGAUUAGCUGGCUAAACUUGUGAGUCUUCUGGGUUUUCUGGUGAAAUGGCAUUGCUAGCUGAUGUAAACCUGGAUCGGUCCACCAUUUCACUAGUUUACCCCAUCCCCUACUUUCCAGUGGAUAAAGGAUGGUACCAACAGAUGCUUUAUAGGCUUAACAAAGGCAUCAUUAUAGUAAAACCCACUUGUCAAUGUAAUUUAUUUUCUUGUUUUGAUUCCCUCAGUUCCUCUGAAACAAUGUGUCCAGCUUUGAACUGCAGCGUGUUUGUAAAUAGUCUUUUGGAGUGCUGUUAAGAGUAGUUUAUAGUUCAGUAGGAUGCUUCUUGCAUCUGGUUCUUCUUCUCAGGAUAUGGCCAAUAAUGUGAUUCACUCCCCGUUCAUUAUGUAAUUGUUUCAGCUGGCUGGUAAUUAGGGUUGGAAACCCUGGUGAGUCUUCCUGCUCAGACAGCUCUGAGUCAGCUGACAAUUUUGGUGAUGGGAAUAUCUUCAGGAGUUCUUCUGGUGUGGAUGUAUGUUACCUUCCACUCGUCUUUUGCCUGGAGGGUUGAAUUAUCACCGUUCUUCUUUCACACCAAAGGGUAAGAGGUCAGUCACCUCUCUGUGGUUUCAAAGCAAAGGUGGGGAUUUCUCCCCAGAUGCUCAUAUCCGCAGUGUAUGCCUGCAGACCCCCAGAAGACACUCGCUGGUCCUCAGCUGCUGCUGCUGGCUCCCAGGUGGGUUGGCAGCCCAUCUGGCAGCCUUCAUCACUCCAUAAAAAUAAGUUUUGUUCCCUUGGCCUCUCCCCCGUGAAAUACGUACACCUGGUGUUUGCUAUGGGCAGCAGCGCAAGUGCUGUGAGGAGCAAUGUCCUCAUCAAAGAGCCUGCUGGCAGCUGAUCCAAGGAAGCCCCUCUGCUUGUGAAAUCCUAUACUGUGGGAAGGAGCUUCGUGGCCUUUCGCAGCCUCCCCUGGAGGGGUCUUUACCCCUGGAGGGAGAUGGUCAGGAGGCUGCAGUGUCACCUCGCUCAGGAAAUCCCUGCAAUCCCCUACUUCUGGGAGUGAAGAUGGCUCUACUUCAUCGCGUGCCAGGAUGCUGAGUUUCUUCCUCCGCAGCCGGCCCUGCUCUUGCCUGCCGGUGCCUAAAGAUGUGCAGCCUUUCUAGCCCAGCUUCUUCCUGCCCUGUGUCCCUGUGCCCAUGGCUGUGCCUAUGGGGAGGCUCCACCAGUGGAGCACCCACGGCAGCUCUUCCAGGUUGUGCUGGGAUGGACUCCCAGGUACAGUUCUUUUGGUGUUGGGCAUUUUUCCCAUACAAGACAUCCCAGAAACAUGGGACAAAGUUUGACACUUAAGCACAUGACUGUAAUUCCAAACACAAAAAGGGAGCUCACAAAUACAAAUAACAAACACAAAGGAGCUGUGCACAUACUCUUUUUUUCCCCAAAGUAAUCACCGGAUUUCACACUUACUUGACCUCUUACUAUAGCUUCUCUCUUUCCUUUUAGCAACAUGAAAAAGAAAGAUCUCAAGCCUGUCCCCUGAACUGUGUUCAACUCAACGGAAUACUUGUUUUGUUACAAUUAAUUUUAAGAAGGUCAGGAUUUUAGCUCAUGCUGAAAUUCCUGGUAAAAAAAAUAAUUUCUUUCAAGAAAGUUGACAUGGGUGGUUCUGGUACUUCACUGUUCUCCUCAUGUUUGUGUGUUUUGUUGUUGGUUUGGGUUUUUUUGAUAACAACACUAUUUUCUCUAUUCAGGCGAAAUUGCUUAUAGCAAUUUUAGUCCCUGAAAGGUAUUUCUGGCAAGGGCAAGGUUUCUCAAACAUCUUUACCUGCUCUGUUCACUUCAGAAUACAAUGCCCAUAAUUUGUAAUACAAAUGCAAAAGAACGGCCAGACCAGGUCAGAACAAUAGCGCAGGUGACCCCGUGCUCCAUCUCUGGUACAGUGAAGUCUGUACGUUGGAGCCGUAUGAGCAGUUCCCUAAUGUUCCCAGAAACACUUAGAAAAGGGAGUAGGGAAUGCAGGUCAUUCUCGGGUGAUCCUUCCCCUCUCCUGGUGCAGCAUCUGGCUGCCUAUGCCUCCGGGACUUGUUGAGCUGAGGCAGGCUGUGAGGUUUAAUAGCCAUACCUGGUGCAGCCCUCACAUAACCCUUCUCGGAUCCAGUUGGGAUUUGGCCUUGGCAGCAUCCUGUAACAAUAAGUUUCACAAUUUAAUUUCCACUGUGUGAAAGCGGACUUCCUCUAUUUGUUUUAAGCUUGCUGCCUGCUAAUUUCAAAGGGUGCCUUUAGUUCUGUGCUGAGGCAGGAGGGGCAAGCUAUUCCCCACCCAUCUGCUCCAGAUCUUUUAUGAUUUAUACACCUCUGUCAUCCCUCCCUUGACUCAUUUCCAGCAUCAGAAAUCCCAGCCUGUUCAGUCUUUUCUAGUACCGUUGCCUUCCCAUACAUCUAAUAGCACAUCUUGAGCUCUACACCUUUUCUAGCUCUCCUGUGCUCAACCAUGUCCUGCUGUAAGGGAAGGAAAAAUCCAGUUUUGCUUUUUGCAAUUUCCUUCCACCCUGUCCCCAUCUGGCAGGCAGUAAUCCACAGGUCACCCACCUAAGAGGUUUCCCAAAGACAGUGCAGGGCUGUCGGAUGAACCAAAGUGUCUCCCAGGGGAACUAAGCCCUGGUCUGCAAGAGCCUCUCUAAGUAAAACCCGUGGGAGGUUUUGUCCCUUCCUAUCCCAAUAGUUUCUCAGCAGGAGAAUCUCAGUCCCCAAAGCUUCCUCCCACCAGAAAGUAUCCCAGCCAAGGAGGAGAACAUGUAAGGUUUGCUGGGAGCUGCUCAGUAUUCAUGGUAGACCCCUGGUAACUCAGCUUUGGCGCAGCACCUGGUCUGGGAAUUAUUUUUAUUAAAAACAAAGAAUUAGUGUAUGACCUCAAGCAAUUUCCCUCAUGAGCUGGGUUCUGGCCAGACAGACUAUCGCCUACAAAAAUCCCAUCUGUCAGCCACAGGGUUACACAGCCAUCUCAGACGUGGAGGAAUUUGAAGCUGAGGCACCAAAUGCAGCAGCCUCAAAUACCAGGCCUAGAGACAUUUUAACUCAUUUAAUAAUACCAGGCCUCCUUGCUCUCUUGCUUGCACUGGGUUUGCUCCACAGAUUUCAGUCGAGCCAAACUUCCCUGGGGCUGGCAGAGGAGGUGAGGGAUGGAGCAGGCACUUUGUGCACGGUGGGCCAGCAGCCAGCUAUUGAGGGAAGCUGAGGACCUGGUCAAAAGACGGCAGUGACAUUUACCAUGGUGGAAAAACUGGCAGCUGGCAGUCCCACUUCCUUUGCUGAAGGGACAGGAUGGCCGGGCAGGCAGCUUUUGUGGGGGAGACAUGGCAGGAGGAGAACAAAUCACUUGUUUCUCCUUGACUUUCCAUUUUCCUUAUCUGAAAAAUGACCUUCUGCAUUUUCCCAGAAGGGGUACUGCUUUCUUUGAGAUGUUAUUUGCAAAUAUCUAUCUUAAAUGUCACAUACAAACAGAAUAAAAUGGGUAUAAACAGAGCACUAGAUGUGAAAGGGUGCUGAGGAACAGAAGCUGAUAGUGAAAUGACCCUUCUGGGGUGUCGUGAAAGUGCUGGUGUUGAGUGGAGCCAUCUUCUUCUGCUGAGAUAUCUGAAUGAGCAUCUGUUGUUACUGACUAAAUAACAGUAUAGAUUGAAUUAAUCCUUGUGACAGGCAAGCUUUCUGCCAGAAACAAUAGCAUCAGCUGGGAGAGUUAAUUCCUGGGUUUGUGUUAUUAGUCACCCCAACCAACGCACAUUCAAGGCAAGCAGCGUGACAGAACGCUGUGCGAUAUCUAAUUCCUCCACCACUCCAUUCUUCUUGCUGUCCCUUGCUUUAAUUAGGUGCCAUUAAUCAGUCACUGGUUAAUGAGGAACCCAUAUCAAAAUGUUUGGUGGUAUAAUACAGCUGAAGCAAGAUCCAUUCUUGCCACUUGAGCCUUGCAGGCCAGCCCAUACGGAGCUGCAUUGCAAUUGCAGCUGUUGGUUAGGCAGCUGUGAGCCCAUCCAAGCCCCAUUCCCUAAAAUAAGUGGCAUUUCUUUUGCUCCCUCUUUGGCUUCCGCCACAACAAUGACUGACUGUGAGCAGAGGACUGAAGUCUCAUUCUGCUAUUUGCUGUACAAAUGGGAAUAUGCAUGGCUGAAACUUUCAGAGAUAUUUUUAAGCCCAAAGUCAAGAUAUAAGCCAGCUGGGAUUUUCUAAGGCUUUUAGAUACCAAAUUUCCUGGAAGUUGGAGGGUGUGGAAGAUGGAAGACAGAGAGCUGCUAAGAUAUUUCCACAGGUUUUUUCCACAGAAGUUAGGCAGUUAAGCUGCUUUGCAGAUUGGUUUCAGUUGUGUGUUUUUUAAAAUAUCAGUGGGUAUCUAUUUUUAUAAUUUAAAAUUGUCUCCAUGUUUCUUACCUGAAAGUAAGGUUAAUCUUCCAAUUUUGCACUGAAAUAUGCUUGGGCAGAUCAUUGACUGUGGUUGGUUUUGCAAGUCAGAAAUGUUUUAAUCAGAAUAUGUUAAUCACUGGGUGCUCAGGAAAGCACAAAGAUCUCCAUGCACGUUGCUCAGUGAAGGACCGCAGCCUCAGCAGUAGACAGGAGAUGACCACUGGGGGAGAGAGGAACAUGUGAAUAUAGAAAGCUUAUUGUUGUAAAAUUAUAUUUAUUUAAAAUAGCACAUAGAAUAAAGUAUCCCCUUCUUCCAACUAUUUGUUACUUGACUUUUCCAAGUGCAUCUCUCUUAUCAAUGAAAUAUUGACUAAUUCAAAAAACACAGUGACAACGAAAGAUCGUUAAAGAAAGUGGGAUGCUCUGACAUGUGACCAGGCUAUUCCUGGCUGCUGUUUACUCAAUGUUUGCAGCAAUCUCUAUGGCACAAGGACUUGAGAGACAGAAUAUCUUCUUUGUUCCAGUUAUGUACUUUCUGGUUUAUGUGUUUGCUGUACAGUAUCAACCCUAACUUAGGAUAUAGCCUUUUGUCACUUGAAAUUAUUUCAUAGCCUUUUGUAAAACAAACUGAAAAACUGAUAGAAAUUCUCAGAAGAUCAUCAAAAUUUUUGUACUUGAUUCCCUCACUUCUGGUCUCCUCCAUCUCCUCAUCCAUAUACAAUUGACAGCAACUGCAUUAUGGAAGAAGAUAUGAGUGUUGGCUUUGAAAAUAAAACAGGGUUUUGUAUCACAAUCA
Molecule: long non-coding RNA, 6052 nt
Organism: Falco peregrinus (peregrine falcon)
Lineage: Eukaryota; Metazoa; Chordata; Aves; Falconiformes; Falconidae
Exons: 2
Source: RefSeq, a predicted model, not a curated record